This 484-nucleotide ribosomal RNA is filed under the name uncultured bacterium. RNAcentral describes it as "partial 16S ribosomal RNA". It matches the Rfam family "Bacterial small subunit ribosomal RNA", at positions 30 to 507 of the family's 1533-position model. The record is from RNAcentral.
AUUGAACGCUGGCGGCAGGCCUAACACAUGCAAGUCGAGCGGCAGCACGGUGCUUGCUCGUGGUUUCGGCGGCGGACGGGUGAGUAGUGCCUGGGUACCUGCCUGUUAGCUGUGUAUUACGGCCUGACACGGGCGCUAAUACGCCAUAAGUCCUUACGGAGAAAGUGGGGGAGCAUCGGACCUUCCGCUCUCGGACGAGCCUAUGUGGGAUUAGCUAGUUGGCGGGGUAAAGGCCUACCAAGGCGACGAUCCGUAACUGGUCUGAGAGGAUGAUCAGUCACACUGGAACUGAGACACGGUCCAGACUCCUACGGGAGGCAGCAGUGGGGAAUAUUGGACAAUGGGCGAAAGCCUGAUCCAGCCAUGCCGCGUGGGUGAAGAAGGUCUUCGGGUUGUAAAGCCCUUUUAGUUGGAAAGAAAAGCAGCAGGUUAAUACCCCGCUGUUUUGACGGUACCAACAGAAUAAGCACCGGCUAACUUCGUG